CCCACUGAGCCAUCUCACCAGCCCCCUUUUUAAUUUUUUUAAUUAUUUAUGGGGUUGGUGAGAUGGCUCAGCAGU
Molecule: microRNA precursor, 75 nt
Filed under: Mus musculus (house mouse)
Lineage: Eukaryota; Metazoa; Chordata; Mammalia; Rodentia; Muridae
Description: mir-3473 microRNA precursor family
Rfam family: mir-3473 microRNA precursor family
Source: Rfam by way of RNAcentral